RNAcentral lists this ribosomal RNA (582 nucleotides) under uncultured bacterium. RNAcentral describes it as "bacterial SSU rRNA". It matches the Rfam family "Bacterial small subunit ribosomal RNA", at positions 102 to 680 of the family's 1533-position model. The record is from RNAcentral.
ACGGGUGAGUAAUAUAUCGGAACGUGCCCUAGAGUGGGGGAUAACUAGUCGAAAGACUAGCUAAUACCGCAUACGAUCUAAGGAUGAAAGUGGGGGAUCGCAAGACCUCAUGCUCCUGGAGCGGCCGAUAUCUGAUUAGCUAGUUGGUGGGGUAAAAGCCUACCAAGGCGACGAUCAGUAGCUGGUCUGAGAGGACGACCAGCCACACUGGGACUGAGACACGGCCCAGACUCCUACGGGAGGCAGCAGUGGGGAAUUUUGGACAAUGGGGGCAACCCUGAUCCAGCAAUGCCGCGUGAGUGAAGAAGGCCUUCGGGUUGUAAAGCUCUUUUGUCAGGGAAGAAACGGUGGUAGCUAAUAUCUACUACUAAUGACGGUACCUGAAGAAUAAGCACCGGCUAACUACGUGCCAGCAGCCGCGGUAAUACGUAGGGUGCAAGCGUUAAUCGGAAUUACUGGGCGUAAAGCGUGCGCAGGCGGUUGUGUAAGACAGAUGUGAAAUCCCCGGGCUCAACCUGGGAAUUGCAUUUGUGACUGCACGGCUAGAGUGUGUCAGAGGGGGGUAGAAUUCCACGUGUAGCA